RNAcentral lists this ribosomal RNA (97 nucleotides) under Trichococcus ilyis. RNAcentral's name for it is "16S rRNA. Bacterial SSU". It matches the Rfam family "Bacterial small subunit ribosomal RNA", at positions 1 to 92 of the family's 1533-position model. Lineage: Bacteria; Bacillati; Bacillota; Bacilli; Lactobacillales; Carnobacteriaceae. The record is from RNAcentral.
UUUUACAUGAGAGUUUGAUCCUGGCUCAGGACGAACGCUGGCGGCGUGCCUAAUACAUGCAAGUCGAACGGUCUUUUCUAUGGAAGCUUGCUUCCAC